AAUUCCCGGUGUUUUCCCAGGUCCGGGAUCUCCUUUCCGCGCUCCGGAAUUCCAGCUCCGGCUCCAGGGUUUCCCCACAUCCCAGCACCCCCCAUCAUUCCCAUCAUUCCCAUUAUUCCCAUUGUUAUUCAUGUUGUUAUCCCCAUCAUUCCUGUUAUUCCCAAUGGGAAUUCCUGCUGUUUUUCCAGGUCUGGGAUCUCCUUUCCAAGCUCCAGAGCUCCAGUUCCAGCUCCGGGGUUUCCCCACAUCCCAGCACCCCCCAUCAUUCCCAUCAUUCCCAUUGUCAUUCCCAUCAUUCCCAUUGUCAUUCCCAUCAUUCCCAUUGUCAUUCCCAUCAUUCCCAUUGUUUUUCCCGGUGUUUUCCCAGCUCAAGGAGCUCCUGUCCGCACUCCAGAAUUCCGGCUCCAGGGUUUCCCCACAUCCCAUCACCCCCAUUAUUCCCAUCAUUCCCAUUAUUCCUGUUGGUAUUCCGGUUGUUAUUCAUGUUGUUAUUCCCAUCAUUCCCAAUUAGAAUUCCUGCUGUUUUUCCAGGUCCUGGAUCUCCUUUCCAAGCUCCAGAGCUCCGGUUCCAGCUCCGGGUUUUCCCCACAUCCCAGAGCCCCUCAGGAUUCCCAUCAUUCCCAUUGUUUUUCCUGUUGUUUUCCCAGGUCCUGGAUCUCCUUUCCAAGCUCCGGAAUUCCAGCUCCGGUUCCAGCUCCGGGGUUUCCCCACAUCCCAAUGUCCCCCAUUAUUCCCAUCAUUCCCAUUGUCAUUCCCAUCAUUCCCAUUGUCUUUCCCAUCAUUCCCAUUGUCAUUCCCAUUAUUCCCAUUGUCAUUCCCAUUAUUCCCAUUGUUUUUCCCGGUGUUUUCCCAGCUCAAGAAGCUCCUGUCCACACUCCAGAAUUCCGGCUCCGGGGUUUCCCCACAUCGCAGCACCCCCCAUCAUUCCCAUUGUCAUUCCCAUCAUUCCCAUUGUUUUUCCUGUUGUUUUUCCAGGUCCAGGAUCUCCUUUCCAAGCUCCAGAGCUCCGGUUCCAGCUCCGGGGUUUCCCCACAUCCCAGCACCCCCCAUCAUUCCCAUCAUUCCCAUUGUUAUUCCCAUCAUUCCCAUUGCCAUUCCCAUCAUUCCCAUUGCCAUUCCCAUUAUUCCCAUUGUUUUUCCCGUUGUUUUCCCAGCUCAAGAAGCUCCUGUCCGCACUCCAGAAUUCCGGCUCCGGGGUUUCCCCACAUCCCAGCACCCCCCAUUAUUCCCAUCAUUCCCAUUAUUCCCGUUGGUAUUCCCAUUGUUAUUCAUGUUGUUAUUCCCAUCAUUCCCAGUAGGGAUUCCUGUUGUUUUCCCAGGUCCAGGAUCUCCUUUCCAAGCUCCAGAGCUCUGGUUCCAGCUCCGGGGUUUCCCCACAUCCCAAUACCCCCCAUCAUUCCCAUCAUUCCCAUUGUUAUUCCCAUCAUUCCCAUUGUCAUUCCUAUCAUUCCCAUUGUCAUUCCCAUUGUCAUUCCCAUUGUCAUUCCCAUCAUUCCCAUUGUCAUUCCCAUUGUUUUUCCCGGUGUUUUCCCAGGUCCGGGAUCUCCUGUCCGCGCUCCGGAAUUCCAGCUCGGGCUCCGGGGUUUCCCCACAUCCCAGAGCCCCCAUUAUUCCCAUCAUUCCCAUUAUUCCCAUUGUCAUUCCCAUCAUUCCCAUU
Molecule: long non-coding RNA, 1657 nt
Organism: Zonotrichia albicollis (white-throated sparrow)
Lineage: Eukaryota; Metazoa; Chordata; Aves; Passeriformes; Passerellidae
Source: Ensembl